GAUGAGCGCUGACAGAAUGCUUAACACAUGCAAGUCUACUUGAACUUCGGUUUGGGUGGCGGACGGGUGAGUAACGCGUAAAGAACUUGCCUCACAGAUAGGGACAACAUUUGGAAACGAAUGCUAAUACCUGAUAUUAUGAUUUUAGGGCAUCCUAGAAUUAUGAAAGCUAUAUGCACUGUGAGAGAGCUUUGCGUCCCAUUAGCUAGUUGGAGAGGUAACGGCUCACCAAGGCGAUGAUGGGUAGCCGGCCUGAGAGGGUGAUCGGCCACAAGGGGACUGAGACACGGCCCUUACUCCUACGGGAGGCAGCAGUGGGGAAUAUUGGACAAUGGACCAAGAGUCUGAUCCAGCAAUUCUGUGUGCACGAUGAAGUUUUUCGGAAUGUAAAGUGCUUUCAGUUGGGAAGAAAAAAAUGACGGUACCAACAGAAGAAGUAACGGCUAAAUACGUGC
Molecule: ribosomal RNA, 455 nt
Filed under: uncultured bacterium
Lineage: Bacteria
Description: partial 16S ribosomal RNA
Rfam family: Bacterial small subunit ribosomal RNA
Source: RNAcentral